RNAcentral lists this unclassified non-coding RNA (390 nucleotides) under soil metagenome. Its description in RNAcentral is "partial contains 5.8S ribosomal RNA, internal transcribed spacer 2, and large subunit ribosomal RNA". The stretch from base 1 to 121 matches the Rfam family "5.8S ribosomal RNA", at positions 35 to 154 of the family's 154-position model. The record is from RNAcentral.
GAUGAAGAACGCAGCGAAAUGCGAUACUUGGUGUGAAUUGCAGAAUCCCGUGAACCAUCGAGUCUUUGAACGCAAGUUGCGCCCGAACCAUUAGGCCGAGGGCACGCCUGCCUGGGCGUCACACGUCGUUGCCCCCCCAUCUACUCCUUCGGGAUUGCGGGGGGCGGAUGAUGGCCUCUCGUGCGCCUCGUCGCGCGGUUGGCCUAAAUGCCAAGUCCUCGGCGACGCACGCCACGACAAUCGGUGGUUGCGAAACCUCGGUUGCCUGUCGUGUGCGGUCGUCGCGCAUCGAGGGCUCGAAAAAAUUGCCGGGCUUCGGCUCGACUUUCAACGCGACCCCAGGUCAGGCGGGGUUACCCGCUGAAUUUAAGCAUAUCAAUAAGCGGAGGA